Non-coding RNA from Mycena polygramma, 96 nucleotides. The record is from the annotation of a GenBank genome assembly. NCBI's taxonomy places the organism in Eukaryota, Fungi, Basidiomycota, Agaricomycetes, Agaricales, Mycenaceae.
GACCCCCUAGCGGAGCGGUAGCGCAUCACCUAGGAAUUCAUUUCUUCCUGGUCCAGGUUUAAGGUGAAGGCGCCGGUUCGACUCCGGCGGGGGUCA